GAUGAACGCUGGCGGCGUGCCUAACACAUGCAAGUCGAACGGAGAUUACGGACGGAAGUUUUCGGAUGGAAGCCUGUAAUUCUUAGUGGCGGACGGGUGAGUAACGCGUGGGCAACCUGCCCUAUACAGGGGGAUAGCAGCUGGAAACGGCUGGUAAGACCGCAUAAGUCGGUUAAAUCGCAUGAUUUGAUCGGGAAAUGAGCAAUCAGGUAUAGGAUGGGCCCGCGUCCGCUUAGCCAGUUGGCAGGGUAAAAGCCUACCAAAGCGACGAUCGGUAGCCGGACUGAGAGGUCGGACGGCCACAUUGGGACUGAGACACGGCCCAAACUCCUACGGGAGGCAGCAGUGGGGGAUAUUGCACAAUGGAGGAAACUCUGAUGCAGCGACGCCGCGUGAGUGAAGAAGUAUUUCGGUAUGUAAAGCUCUAUCAGCAGGGAAGAUGAUGACGGUACCUGACUAAGAAGCCCCGGCUAACUACGUG
RNAcentral lists this ribosomal RNA (481 nucleotides) under uncultured bacterium. Its description in RNAcentral is "partial 16S ribosomal RNA". It matches the Rfam family "Bacterial small subunit ribosomal RNA", at positions 28 to 507 of the family's 1533-position model. The record is from RNAcentral.